RNAcentral lists this ribosomal RNA (691 nucleotides) under Enterobacter sp. EB-14. RNAcentral's name for it is "bacterial SSU rRNA". It matches the Rfam family "Bacterial small subunit ribosomal RNA", at positions 67 to 749 of the family's 1533-position model. The record is from RNAcentral. Lineage: Bacteria; Pseudomonadati; Pseudomonadota; Gammaproteobacteria; Enterobacterales; Enterobacteriaceae.
CGGUAGCACAGAGAGCUUGCUCUCGGGUGACGAGUGGCGGACGGGUGAGUAAUGUCUGGGAAACUGCCUGAUGGAGGGGGAUAACUACUGGAAACGGUAGCUAAUACCGCAUAACGUCGCAAGACCAAAGAGGGGGACCUUCGGGCCUCUUGCCAUCAGAUGUGCCCAGAUGGGAUUAGCUAGUAGGUGGGGUAACGGCUCACCUAGGCGACGAUCCCUAGCUGGUCUGAGAGGAUGACCAGCCACACUGGAACUGAGACACGGUCCAGACUCCUACGGGAGGCAGCAGUGGGGAAUAUUGCACAAUGGGCGCAAGCCUGAUGCAGCCAUGCCGCGUGUAUGAAGAAGGCCUUCGGGUUGUAAAGUACUUUCAGCGGGGAGGAAGGCGAUAAGGUUAAUAACCUUGUCGAUUGACGUUACCCGCAGAAGAAGCACCGGCUAACUCCGUGCCAGCAGCCGCGGUAAUACGGAGGGUGCAAGCGUUAAUCGGAAUUACUGGGCGUAAAGCGCACGCAGGCGGUCUGUCAAGUCGGAUGUGAAAUCCCCGGGCUCAACCUGGGAACUGCAUUCGAAACUGGCAGGCUAGAGUCUUGUAGAGGGGGGUAGAAUUCCAGGUGUAGCGGUGAAAUGCGUAGAGAUCUGGAGGAAUACCGGUGGCGAAGGCGGCCCCCUGGACAAAGACUGACGCUCA